This 307-nucleotide long non-coding RNA is filed under the name Salmo salar (Atlantic salmon). RNAcentral describes it as "lncRNA (ENSSSAG00000101509.1)". Lineage: Eukaryota; Metazoa; Chordata; Actinopteri; Salmoniformes; Salmonidae. The record is from RNAcentral.
GUAGAUAUGUAUAGGAGACAGGGAUACUGGAGUGAUGGAGGUAGAUAUAUGUAUAGGGGGAAGGGGACAGGGAUACUGGAGUGAUGGAGGUAGAUAUGUAUAGGGGACAGGGAUACUGGAGUGAUGGAGGUAGAUAUGUAUAGGGGACAGGGAUACUGGAGUGAUGGAGGUAGAUACAGUGGGCUCCAAAAUUACUGGCAAUGCACAAACAAUAUUUCAAAAUAUAUAUAAACAAUAUAAUUAUAGAGAUAAACUCAAAAUACCAACAUGUGAAAAAUACCGUACUUCAUUAAUGUUUCAAUGGAAC